Molecule: ribosomal RNA, 455 nt
Filed under: uncultured Latescibacterota bacterium
Lineage: Bacteria; Pseudomonadati; Candidatus Latescibacterota
Description: bacterial SSU rRNA
Rfam family: Bacterial small subunit ribosomal RNA
Source: RNAcentral
ACAAGCAGUGAGUAUGUGGUUUAAUUCGAAGCAACGCGAAGAACCUUACCAGGGCUUGACAUCCCUUGAAGCAGCUAGAGAUAGCUGUGUCCUUCGGGACAAGGAGACAGGUGGUGCAUGGUUGUCGUCAGCUCGUGUCGUGAGAUGUUGGGUUAAGUCCCGCAACGAGCGCAACCCUUAUCCCCAGUUGCCAUCAGGUAAAGCUGGGAACUCUGGGGAGACUGCCGGUGAUAAACCGGAGGAAGGCGGGGAUGACGUCAAGUCCUCAUGGCCCUUACAUCCCGGGCUACACACGUGCUACAAUGGCAGGUACAGAGGGCUGCAAAGCCGCGAGGUAGAGCGAAUCCCAGAAAACCUGUCUCAGUCCGGAUUGAAGUCUGCAACUCGACUUCAUGAAGGCGGAAUCGCUAGUAACCGCGAAUCAGCAGGUCGCGGUGAAUACGUUCCCGGGCCUU